CAGGGUGGGAGGGAGGACAAUGCUGCCCGACACCAGCUGGUGACCUCAGCGGCCUGGCCUGGAGGGAGGGGGCUGGGCAGAAGGGGGCUCCUGGGCAGAGUGGGUGGGAACCAACCUCCCCAGGGACAGUGAGGGGCCCUUGGCCUUGUUUGGCAGCCUCUGCCUCCCGGCCAAGGUGACUCUGAGGAUGGAGAGGACUCCAGUUCAGCUCAGCCUCAGUCCCUCAGCAGACCCCCGCCUCCCCCACGCCAUGCGCCCUCCCAUGUGGCACACUGGUGAGCUGGGUGUUGGUCUUGAUGGCCGGUUCCCCACACCAGGACGCAAAUGUGGUGACAGCAGAGAUUUUGAUUCUGCAUCCUCUGCUCGGCCCCCAUCUAGCACACUGCUUGGCACGUAGUAGAUGCUCAUUAAACACGGGUUGAGUGACCACACAGACGAACUCUUCCCAGCCAUCUGGGGAACCUAGAAGCCAUGCUGGGAUUCCCUAGGACAGUGGCUCUCUCCUUUGCCUGCCCUUCAGAGCUACCCAUGGCCGCCUAGGCCCCAGCCCCAGCCCCAGAAGGUCUGAGUUAAUUGCUCUGGGAUGAGGCUUUAGAAGCAUAAUUCUAAAAAGCUCUCCAGGUCAUUCCGAUGUGCAGCCAAGGUUAGGAGUUUGGGCCAGAGGAGAGGCUCCUUCCUCGUGGCCACGGGAGCCCGUGGUGCCCAGCCCACCAGUCACCGGGAGAUAGCAGAGGGUCAACGAGCAGCUGACGGAAUAGAGGAACCGUGCACUGACUGGAGCUACUCACUGACCCUUAGGGAGCUCACGGGUUGAAUCUGUGCGCCAAACAGAUGACGGUGAGCCACGUGACGUUUCCUUUCCUGGAGGGAAGGAGUCGCAGCCUCGUCGGUUCCCCCAGGGAUCAGGGAGCGAGAAGAUCCUCUGCAACUCCCGCCCCUGCGUGUGGGUGACCUGAGCUUGUCCCGAGCCACAGGUCUCGGGCACCCUGGCCUGUCUGAGUGGGACGCAGGGUCGGGAGACGGAAGCACUCCUUGGAGAGCGUCGCUCAGCCCCAGGACACAAGAACCCCGUGUUCCUCACUGGGGACAGGCAAGGAGGUGAGACAGGGUGGCUUGGGAGAGAUGCUCGGAGUAAGGGACGUGGCCAGGGCCACAGCUGUGGGAACAGGGACCCCCAUGAGCCCUCCAGGGGACGGGCACUAGAGAGGCAGGGGUUGGGCACGUGGCAGAGGGUUGGGCCUUUGGACUUGCUUUGUCACCGCACAAGUACGGAGUAGGGCAGAAGCCCUGGUGCUGGGGAUUGACGGGGACAAACUGGGACAUGUUCCGUCCCCUUCCCCAGUCUACCUGCCCCAGGAACACUGUCAUGGGCCUGAAAGGAAUACCCGGGGCUUGUCCAGAAUUAAUGGCCGAGAUACGCAGCGGCCAGAGGGUCCCUGUACAGCUGGGGACAGAGGGGCCUCCUGGAGAGCGGCUGGGAGGGGCACCCCCUUCAAUCCUCGGGCUGUUCUGGGGGUCUCGGGCAGCGUCCCCUGUGGGUCCUGUUCCAUGACAGCCUGCUCACUUUUGCCUGCCACCUGCAGGACCCCCGGGGAAGCUGUCCCUAUGGUGUCCCUGCUGUGCUAAAGGUCACGCUGCCCUGCUCAGAGCCUUGUCCUGGCAUCCCCUGGAGCCACGGUCCCCAGGUCUCAAACGGAGCAGCACCUCUGAGCCCACCCAGCCAGAGCCACAGCACCACGGGAGAAGUGGGUGGCAGGUAAACCGGGCAUCUCAUGUGGGGACCACG
This 1786-nucleotide long non-coding RNA is filed under the name Marmota monax (woodchuck). The record is from RNAcentral. Lineage: Eukaryota; Metazoa; Chordata; Mammalia; Rodentia; Sciuridae.